This is a long non-coding RNA of Corapipo altera (White-ruffed manakin), 329 nucleotides long. RefSeq lists it as uncharacterized. The record is from RefSeq and is a predicted model, not a curated record. Lineage: Eukaryota; Metazoa; Chordata; Aves; Passeriformes; Pipridae. The transcript is spliced from 3 exons.
GAAGGACUCCUCAAGUAGUCCCCAGUGUUGGAUGAAAGUCCAAGAAUACUCAGUUUUAGUUAUUGUUUCUUCCUGACCAGAAUAGUAACAGGAAAUGGGAAACACACAUCUCCACUGCAAGCCUUGGAUAUUUCUGGGUGGUACUAAUAAAGCCUAACUAUGAGAGCAGUAAAUUAGCUGAGAAAUUAAAGGAAAGACAACGAUGACUUCUGCAGUCAAACUGGAAUGACUGAUCAAACAAAAAUUGAAGCAUCUGUGUACUGGAAUGGAUAUGCCCACACUGAUGUGGAAGCAAAAUUUAGAAAAGAAGCAUCAGUGUAAUGGGACUG